This 424-nucleotide ribosomal RNA is filed under the name uncultured bacterium. RNAcentral's name for it is "bacterial SSU rRNA". It matches the Rfam family "Bacterial small subunit ribosomal RNA", at positions 359 to 776 of the family's 1533-position model. The record is from RNAcentral.
GAAUAUUGGACAAUGGGCGAAAGCCUGAUCCAGCAAUGCCGCGUGUGUGAAGAAGGCCUUCGGGUUGUAACGCACUUUGAUUCGGGAAGAAAAAGCCUGACCUAAUACGUCAAGCCUUGACGGUACCGAAAGAACAAGCACCGGCUAACUCUGUGCCAUCAGCCGCGGUAAUACAGAGGGUGCAAGCGUUAAUCGGAUUUACUGGGCGUAAAGCGUGCGUAGGCGGUUCAGUAUGUCGGUCGUGAAAUCCCCGGGCUUAACCUGGGAACUGCGGCCGAAACUGCUGGGCUUGAGUGUGGUAGAGGGUGGUUGAAUUCCGGGUGUAGCGGUGAAAUGCGUAGAGAUCCGGAGGAACAUCGAUGGCGAAGGCAGCCACCUGGGCCACAACUGACGCUGAGGUACGAAAGCGUGGGGAGCAAACAGG